RNAcentral lists this ribosomal RNA (260 nucleotides) under uncultured bacterium. RNAcentral's name for it is "partial 16S ribosomal RNA". It matches the Rfam family "Bacterial small subunit ribosomal RNA", at positions 94 to 354 of the family's 1533-position model. The record is from RNAcentral.
AGUGGCGGACGGGUGAGUAACGCGUGGGCAACCUGCCCUGUACCGGGGGAUAACAGCCGGAAACGGCUGCUAAUACCGCAUAAGCGCACGAGAGCGCAUGCUUUUGUGUGAAAAACUCCGGUGGUACGGGAUGGGCCCGCGUCUGAUUAGCUUGUUGGCGGGGUAGAAGCCCACCAAGGCGACGAUCAGUAGCCGACCUGAGAGGGUGACCGGCCACAUUGGGACUGAGACACGGCCCAAACUCCUACGGGAGGCAGCAG